UACGAAGGGAGCUAGCGUUGUUCGGAUUUACUGGGCGUAAAGAGCGUGUAGGCGGCUUAGCAAGUUGGAAGUGAAAUCCCGGGGCUCAACCCCGGAACUGCUUCCAAAACUGCUUAGCUAGAGUAUGUAAGAGGGUGAUGGAAUUCCUAGUGUAGAGGUGAAAUUCAUAGAUAUUAGGAGGAACACCAGUGGCGAAGGCGAUCACCUGGGACAUUACUGACGCUGAGACGCGAAAGCGUGGGGAGCAAACAGG
RNAcentral lists this ribosomal RNA (253 nucleotides) under uncultured bacterium. Its description in RNAcentral is "partial 16S ribosomal RNA". It matches the Rfam family "Bacterial small subunit ribosomal RNA", at positions 524 to 776 of the family's 1533-position model. The record is from RNAcentral.